Long non-coding RNA from Chenopodium quinoa (quinoa), 857 nucleotides. RefSeq lists it as uncharacterized. The record is from RefSeq and is a predicted model, not a curated record. Lineage: Eukaryota; Viridiplantae; Streptophyta; Magnoliopsida; Caryophyllales; Amaranthaceae. The transcript has 3 exons.
GCAAUUUCAAUUCCGUCACUUUAGAUAAGCUAUUGCAACAACUUAUACUGAUAUCCAGCUAAUGCAAGGGCUAAUGCAACGAAUUUAAUGUGCCGUGGCGUUAGAUAGGCUAAUGCAACGACAAUUAAGCCUAAUACCACGGUACAAAAGCUAUAUAAUGAUAUAAUCUGGCGCUUAAAGUUGUAGGGUUUGUCCGCCUCACCAUUUCCCUGAAAAUUUUGAAAGACCGCCCAAUCUAAGAAAAAACAAAACUAACAAAAAAAAAAAAAAAGUAAAAAACAAAAAACAAAACCAAUUCCUGCUCAUUAUACUGAUAGAUGAGAAUGAUAAAUACGAAGGAAUGGCGGCUAAAGUUAAUUUUUAACUGCGACGAUAAGGCGAUGUGGCGAUGAAGAAAGACCCCUUCAAUCUUCUGAUGCUCUGAAUUCCAUGUUGCUGGCUAAAAGUCCUUUCUCGCUGCAUUCAUUUCUAUGUUGCGGAAUUUACAUUGUCGUCUCGCCAACCCACAAUUUAUAAAAAAUUGAGGUGAAUUUGGAGUACCAGCACCAAGCAUGGGUGAUUUCAAUUUUUGUUGUUGCUGCUCCUCCUGGCCUGCUCGCUCCUGUACAGUGUUGCGGAUAUUGCCACUGCUGCCCCUGUAUAUUAUUGUUGUUGUCUCUAAUUGUUGAUCGAUUCAAGAUGAUGGCAAAUUUUCCCGACAUUAAAACCUUGGUUUUUGCGGUAUAUGGUAGUCUAAACAGAUUGAAAAUGUUUUUAGGAAACAUUGAUUAGCUAUGAUUUUUUUUUCUAGGUUAAUUAGUGUUAUUCGAUUUUGUAAUUUUCCUUAAAGGACAAGAAUGUACAAACUUUAUUUUAAG